AGUCAUACACUUCUGGUGCCAUGUAGAUAUCUGUGCCAACAAUUUGAAAACCAGUGAUCUCUGCUUGCCGUUUGGCUGUUGCAAAGUCUGCAAUUCGAACAUCCUUGUUUGCUGUCAACUAAACAUAAAACGUUAGUACACCAACAAUACUGACAGAUAGGUUUGUUGUUACCAUGACAUUCUCAGGUUUGAGAUCUCGAUGAAUCAUGCUACGUGCGUGAAGAUCUUUUGUCUUCUGCUUGUUGUUGGGACAUUGAUAUAAAGUCAGCAAGACUUCCUCCACCACACCAUUCAAACAGUAGUCCAAGCUUCAGACAAGGUGAAGGAGACAGCAUGAUUGAGCCAUACAACUUUACUAAAUUUGUGUCUUUGAGUUGACUGUAAAUAAAGAAACAUCUACUCAAUUAUUUCUUUAUAUUUCUGCUAAUGUAAAGUACCUGCAGUUGCAAAAUUCUUUCAUAAAAUCA
Long non-coding RNA from Corticium candelabrum, 467 nucleotides. RefSeq lists it as uncharacterized. Lineage: Eukaryota; Metazoa; Porifera; Homoscleromorpha; Homosclerophorida; Plakinidae. The record is from RefSeq and is a predicted model, not a curated record. The transcript is spliced from 2 exons.